CCUACGGGGAGCAGCAGUGAGGAAUAUUGGUCAAUGGGCGCGAGCCUGAACCAGCCAAGUAGCGUGAAGGAUGACUGCCCUACGGGUUGUAAACUUCUUUUAUAAAGGAAUAAAGUGAGGCACGUGUGCCUUUUUGUAUGUACUUUAUGAAUAAGGAUCGGCUAACUCCGUGCCAGCAGCCGCGGUAAUACGGAGGAUCCGAGCGUUAUCCGGAUUUAUUGGGUUUAAAGGGAGCGUAGAUGGGUUGUUAAGUCAGCGGUAAAAGCCCGGGGCUCAACCCCGGCGAGCCUGUGAAACUGGCUGUCGUGAGAUGUCGAGAGGUAUGCGGAAUGCGCAGUGUAGCGGUGAAAUGCUUAGAUAUUGCGCAGAACUCCGAGUACGAAGGCAGCAUACCGGCGGCGAUCUGACGCUGAGGCACGAAAGCGUGGGUAUCGAACAGGAUUAGAUACCCUUGUAGUC
This 459-nucleotide ribosomal RNA is filed under the name uncultured bacterium. Its description in RNAcentral is "partial 16S ribosomal RNA". It matches the Rfam family "Bacterial small subunit ribosomal RNA", at positions 338 to 795 of the family's 1533-position model. The record is from RNAcentral.